UCUCGCGUAGCUUAGUGCUCAGAGCAUUGGUGCGUAAAGCCAAAGGUCCCGGGUUCAAUUCCCGGCGGGAGUA
This 73-nucleotide transfer RNA is filed under the name Agrilus planipennis (emerald ash borer). It matches the Rfam family "tRNA". From Rfam's summary of the family: Transfer RNA (tRNA) molecules are approximately 80 nucleotides in length. Lineage: Eukaryota; Metazoa; Arthropoda; Insecta; Coleoptera; Buprestidae. The record is from Rfam by way of RNAcentral.